Molecule: long non-coding RNA, 209 nt
Organism: Corapipo altera (White-ruffed manakin)
Lineage: Eukaryota; Metazoa; Chordata; Aves; Passeriformes; Pipridae
Exons: 3
Source: RefSeq, a predicted model, not a curated record
ACCUCGAAGUCAGACUUCUUGACGUGGAUUAGGUUGUUAAUCGUCCCCAUCUGGCUGGUGACCACGGGCUGGAGAGAACUGAGGCUCCUACAUCACCUCCUAUUUUCAUCCUCCAUCCUGUUACACGGGUGUGUUCUCCUUCCCAUGCUGCUACCGCAUGAUUCAGUUUGGAGAACCUGCAAUUACAUCCUGUCUAGUUCCCUGAAGAA